Molecule: long non-coding RNA, 307 nt
Organism: Dipodomys spectabilis (banner-tailed kangaroo rat)
Lineage: Eukaryota; Metazoa; Chordata; Mammalia; Rodentia; Heteromyidae
Exons: 3
Source: RefSeq, a predicted model, not a curated record
UCUGUACACUCUAAAACACCACAAUAUCCAACAUACACAAACCUCAGGGAAGGGUUAGUAAAUACACACAAGAGUGGAAUCAUGGUGCUCUUUGUUCCUGAAUGGAAUGGUCCCACAGAAAAAGCACAGGAUACAGCACAACAUAAGGGCACCUGUUAUAUAUGAAGUGAGCAAAACACACUAGCAUUUUCUAUAUGCGUAUGGGGUAACCUGCAUAGGUUAAAGGGCCUUUUAAGUUCAUUUAAAAAUCAGGCAAGUUGUCUAUAUGCAUUUUUAAAAUAAUCUGGAGACCACUGCAAUCACAUUG